This 552-nucleotide ribosomal RNA is filed under the name Hanseniaspora uvarum. RNAcentral's name for it is "partial large subunit ribosomal RNA". It matches the Rfam family "Eukaryotic large subunit ribosomal RNA", at positions 47 to 601 of the family's 3401-position model. Lineage: Eukaryota; Fungi; Ascomycota; Saccharomycetes; Saccharomycodales; Saccharomycodaceae. The record is from RNAcentral.
AUAGCGGAGGAAAAGAAACCAACUGGGAUUACCUUAGUAACGGCGAGUGAAGCGGUAAAAGCUCAAAUUUGAAAUCUGGUACUUUCAGUGCCCGAGUUGUAAUUUGUAGAAUUUGUCUUUGAUUAGGUCCUUGUCUAUGUUCCUUGGAACAGGACGUCAUAGAGGGUGAGAAUCCCGUUUGGCGAGGAUACCUUUUCUCUGUAAGACUUUUUCGAAGAGUCGAGUUGUUUGGGAAUGCAGCUCAAAGUGGGUGGUAAAUUCCAUCUAAAGCUAAAUAUUGGCGAGAGACCGAUAGCGAACAAGUACAGUGAUGGAAAGAUGAAAAGAACUUUGAAAAGAGAGUGAAAAAGUACGUGAAAUUGUUGAAAGGGAAGGGCAUUUGAUCAGACAUGGUGUUUUUUGCAUGCACUCGCCUCUCGUGGGCUUGGGCCUCUCAAAAAUUUCACUGGGCCAACAUCAAUUCUGGCAGCAGGAUAAAUCAUUAAGAAUGUAGCUACUUCGGUAGUGUUAUAGCUUUUUGGAAUACUGUUAGCCGGGAUUGAGGACUGCGCU